CCUGCAUCUGCGUUACCUGGAAAUCUGAGCCCCAGGCUCUUUUCCUGAACGCUGGGUGGCGUUCCCUGUGCUGUACGGCAGGUCCCCGUCGCCCCUGCCUUCCGUGGAGAGAGAUUCUGGGGAACCGUGGCUAGGACGAGACGGAUCUGCAGACGCCUCGCCUCUCGGGAGCCCGUUCCCCUUCUGUCCUCUCGGAGGUCCCCGGUGCCACCUCCCGGAAGUAGCUCUGAUCUGCUCGGGGUCACUGAAGACUCCUGUCGCUGGUUCUGGAACGUGACGUCAAGGGAACGAUCUGAGAGGAAACCUCACGUCCUGCCCUCCUUUCACCCCGAGUACGUCUGGGUUCCUCCACGCGGCUGCGAGUACCGACCUGGUUCCUCCCUCGGCUUCGAUGGUCCCCCUGCCCACCUCCCAGCCGUGGGCGUUUGCUCGUCCGCUCACCGGCCGGAGGCACAUGGGCUGCUGUGGACAGAACUGAUCCUCUGGGACCCAGUCCUGCGGGACGACGUUUCUGUUCCUCUUGGGUAAGGACAUGGCCGGGAGUGAGUCCUGGCCCAGCGGGCACAGGGGAGCUGGGGGAGGGCACAGGGGAGCUGGGGGAGGGCCCAGGGGAGCUGGGGAAGGCCACAGUUCUCCAAA
This 639-nucleotide long non-coding RNA is filed under the name Sus scrofa (pig). Its description in RNAcentral is "lncRNA (ENSSSCG00070007741.1)". The record is from RNAcentral. Lineage: Eukaryota; Metazoa; Chordata; Mammalia; Artiodactyla; Suidae.